RNAcentral lists this non-coding RNA (405 nucleotides) under Ipomoea nil (Japanese morning glory). RNAcentral describes it as "Bacterial large subunit ribosomal RNA". It matches the Rfam family "Bacterial large subunit ribosomal RNA", at positions 257 to 559 of the family's 2925-position model. Lineage: Eukaryota; Viridiplantae; Streptophyta; Magnoliopsida; Solanales; Convolvulaceae. The record is from Rfam by way of RNAcentral.
AUGGUGGGUAGCUUGACCAGUAGUUACUUUUAAAGACUUGUUUAAAACAAGAAGUGGUGAAAUUAUUAUUUUAUCAUUACUUUUAAUAAAUUAUUAUUUAACAUUAAUCUAGGUCAAUCAGAGAGUUUUCUUCUAUAUAUGUUUCAAUAGGUUGGCUAAGCAAGCGUCGUGCUGCUAUGCGAAGCAGCCUGAAUGUUGCACCCUAGAUGGUGAAAGUCCAGUAGCGAAAGCAUCACUAGCUUACGCUCUGUCUCGAGUAGCAUGGGGCACGUGGAAUUCUAUGUGAAUCAGCAAGGACCACCUUAUUGCAAGGCUAAAUAUUCCUGGAUGACCGAUAGUGAAGUAGUAUUGUGAGGGAAGGGUGAAAAGAACCCCAGCGGGGAGUGAAAUAGAACAUGAAACCGU